CGGACGGGUGAGUAACGCGUGGGUAACCUGCCUCAUACAGGGGGAUAACAGUUAGAAAUGACUGCUAAUACCGCAUAAGCGCACAGAAUCGCAUGAUUCGGUGUGAAAAACUCCGGUGGUAUGAGAUGGACCCGCGUCUGAUUAGCUAGUUGGUGGGGUAAUGGCCUACCAAGGCAACGAUCAGUAGCCGGCCUGAGAGGGUGAACGGCCACAUUGGGACUGAGACACGGCCCAAACUCCUACGGGAGGCAGCAG
Molecule: ribosomal RNA, 255 nt
Filed under: uncultured bacterium
Lineage: Bacteria
Description: partial 16S ribosomal RNA
Rfam family: Bacterial small subunit ribosomal RNA
Source: RNAcentral